Molecule: ribosomal RNA, 465 nt
Filed under: Vreelandella stevensii
Lineage: Bacteria; Pseudomonadati; Pseudomonadota; Gammaproteobacteria; Oceanospirillales; Halomonadaceae
Description: partial 16S ribosomal RNA
Rfam family: Bacterial small subunit ribosomal RNA
Source: RNAcentral
CCUAAGGGUGGCUGCAGUGGGGAAUAUUGGACAAUGGGCGAAAGCCUGAUCCAGCCAUGCCGCGUGUGUGAAGAAGGCCUUCGGGUUGUAAAGCACUUUCAGUGGGGAAGAAAGCCUUGGGGCUAAUACCCUCGAGGAAGGACAUCACCCACAGAAGAAGCACCGGCUAACUCCGUGCCAGCAGCCGCGGUAAUACGGAGGGUGCGAGCGUUAAUCGGAAUUACUGGGCGUAAAGCGCGCGUAGGCGGUCUGAUAAGCCGGUUGUGAAAGCCCCGGGCUCAACCUGGGAACGGCAUCCGGAACUGUCAGGCUAGAGUGCAGGAGAGGAAGGUAGAAUUCCCGGUGUAGCGGUGAAAUGCGUAGAGAUCGGGAGGAAUACCAGUGGCGAAGGCGGCCUUCUGGACUGACACUGACGCUGAGGUGCGAAAGCGUGGGUAGCAAACAGGAUUAGAUACCCCAGUAGUC